Long non-coding RNA from Xiphophorus hellerii (green swordtail), 3229 nucleotides. RefSeq lists it as uncharacterized. Lineage: Eukaryota; Metazoa; Chordata; Actinopteri; Cyprinodontiformes; Poeciliidae. The record is from RefSeq and is a predicted model, not a curated record. The transcript has 2 exons.
GUCAGCUGAGGAAGUUAUAGGGUUAAGCAAGCAGGAACACGAUGCUCUGCUACUAUAGACAUUCAAAUACAAAACAAGUUUUUUUUUCCAGUUUUGAAAUAUAAAAAUCAGAUGAAAAUUGAUAAAUGUUCUGUUUUUUGAACCACUGAUUUGCUCAUUAUUGUUUGUUUUCAUUUCAGCCAACAUGUUGUUUUUUCUCCUCUUUAAAAGACUAACCUUGUUUGUUGUCACCUUUAAGAAGGUCACCUCCCUAUUACAUGACCACACUCCUGGAGGAAAGCAAACUUUAUAGCUUAAAAUAAGCAUAAACAAAAUCAGGAAAAUAGAGGAACAAUAGUAGUGAUAAAAUCACUGAAUUCAGCUUUGUUGAGGCACUUAUAAAGCACAGAGGCCUUCAACACAGAUCUCCUGAGAAAGCUGCUGUACAUCAUCUGAGCGCCGGUAACUAACAGCACCAACCUCCGAGCGGCUCUUCAGGCUGCUCCUCUUGGGUCUGAACAGGACAUCCUUGAAGUCCAGCUUGAGGUCUGCGUCCACCCGAGGCAUCCUGGAUGCCCACAACACUGAUGCUGAGACUCUCCUGAGGAAGGCUGCAGCAGCUGCGGUGGUCGCCGGUGCCGAGCCCCAGCCACCAAACCCGAACCUGCAGGCGGCCAGCGUAUUUAAAGCAGAGGGGAAUCCAGCCCAGUUCUAGCCCCCAUGGCUUUAUUUGGGCCUGGGCUCUCUCCCUCCCUCUUCCUGUGUUUCCAUCCUCUCCUCCAGCCUCGCCUGUCUUCCCCAGCCCCCACCCUCUCCUCCGGCAGAGUGGCAGGAGCAGCGGUUUCUGAGCCCGGCUGUCCCAUCCACCGACGCUGGCUCACACACACUCAAACUCUCUCUGGCACACAUAGAGAGAGUAACACUGCAGUGGCUUUUAUGCUGCAGUGCUAAGAGCACACCUGCUGUCCAGCUGGGGCAUUGCUUCUUCCACUGCUAGGUGUCAAGACAGAGCGGCAUGGAGAUAAACACUAAUGGAAAGACCAUGAGUGAAGUAUAAAAUAUGCUUUUUUAUAUGGCCAUAAAUCUGGGCCAAAAAAUAUAUACAGUAUACCUUGCUCAUGUAAAUCCAUCUUUGUAAUAUUGUAAAAUAUUUCAUUUCAAGCAGUUGAUGAACAUUUUAUUACAUAUAAGAAGAAAAAACCUCUAUGCAUCUCCUGAUUCAUAGGAGAAAAUCCUUGGGAUAGUCUUUACAUUUCAAACUGAUUGGACAGUUGCCAGUGAAACUGGCCAAUCAGAAGAAAGACUGUUUUGUUGCAUAUUAUGUCCCCAUAUAGUCCCUAAAUAGGACACAUUGUCCUAAUGUUGGAAGGCCCACUCCAUAUAAUCUAAUAACAUACAGUAUAUUCAUUUGAAAUGGCUUCUUUCUUUCCAGUAAAAAAAAUCAUAAAUUUUUGUGUUAUUGUUGCUUGAUAUAGAUGGUACUUUUGUGACAGCAGAUCAUAUUGAUUGAUAAACUGGAAAGUCAGGUUUUAUUCUCUGCUGUGUUACAUGGUUCAAAUCUAUGAUGACAGACUUAGUUGAACUACUUUCUAUUAUUUAGAUUUCUAAAUGACCUUGUGUCUCUCUGGAAACUUUCAUGUAAUAACAAAAUGUUUUCUGUUGUUCAGGUUACACAAAGAACUACAAUGUCUCCUAUUAUAAUUACUUGCUACGACAGUUUGUGAUGACAUGACCACAGACUCUUAGACAUGUUGUGUGAGGGUUCAUCAAACUGAUUGAUGAGCAGAAACUGGCAUGGAAGGUUAUCAUUUCUGUUCAUUUGCUUACAAUACAAUGCUAAUCUAAGAGUGGUUAUUUGGAUGGUUGCCUCGUAAAUGUAGGAAAACAGCUGUAAAGUUUAAUAUUUAGUAUUAGAAGAUAUUUUUGACGUUACAAAAAUGAAAAUGAUCAAACACGGUUGAUUCAAGAACAAAAGUUUCUAAAGAAAACAUCUUUAGCCAUCACUGAUUGAAAGUUUUGUUUAGUUACUGAAGUUAAUAGUGCAUUCAUUUAGAAUGUUUAAAAAAAAUCAUUUCUUUCUAACCUAAAAUUGAACAAAAUUUUGGUUUUUCAAAAAAUAGCGGGUUUUUUUCAUCCUUUUUCAAAGUCCAGCGAAUGUUCAAAGUUCAACCGCUAGAUGUCAGCAAAGUUACAGAAAGCAGCUAAACGAAGAUCAGAACUCGCACUGGGGUCUCAGCCUUCACUGAAGUGUUUCCUGGAAACAAGCUGUUUCUUUGUUAAAUGUGUGUAAUGUGGCAGGAGAGCUGCUCAAAGCUGUCACUGAUGUAGAAGAACUAAUUAAACAGACAGAUGAACUGUGGUUCUAAAGCAGACAAAAGUAAUGAAUCAUAAUAAAGUUAUGAUUCAUCUCUCAAAUAAAGUUGGAGUUUACUUUAUAGUAAUAUAUAUUUUGUUUCUUACACUUGUUAGUAUUCAGUUUGUGAACGAAGCAAGCAAGUAAACUUCUCACACCUUUUUUGCAACUUGUAAAUUAGAAAAAUAUUAAUCUGAAUCUUUUAGCAUAAAUCCUAUAUUUUAAACAGGAACUGAUAUGAUAAGCAAAAUGAAAGUUAGCUGUCACAUUUUAAUUAACUAUGAUGUUUCAUAUUUCUAUAACUCAUUUUUGACCUUUACCCUAAUUUAGAAACUAAUUUUCUUUUAACUGCUGUGGACCUCUUUGGUUGUUGCUGAUACAUAGACAUAUGAGAGCAUAAAAUUCUGGUCUCAUAAGGACACUCAGACAUCUAAUCAAGCCUUAUCUCUGUGGAACUGAUAGGAUUUGAAUAGUCUACAGAUGUGAGAUAAGGCUGUUCCAGCCACUGCUGGACCACUGCUCCUCAGACUCAUGCAUGCCACUCCAUGCUGCUCUGAUAAGAUGCUAGCCCUUUAGCACUUUGGCUGCCAACAAAGCCAAUAGGAGAAGAGCACAGCAGCUUCGUACUGCACGUAUACUGUGCCAGGUUGCUGCUGGUGGAGUUUCAGGUGCUUCAGUGACAGAGAAAAUGGGUGGCAGUGGAGCGAUGAGAUGUCUCCGCAGGCUGUGUGUUUUAUUGCGUGCAUAAAAUGGGUCACUCUUAGCGUUUCACUAAUGUUUAACUAAUGCAGGUUUUAAUUUAAUGGACAAAACCUGCCUUGUAAUCAGUUUGUGAAUGUGAAAAACACCUUACUUAACAUCAUGUGACAGACUUAUCUAGGCCACGCUGCCUGAGAC